This is a long non-coding RNA of Helianthus annuus (common sunflower), 2423 nucleotides long. RefSeq lists it as uncharacterized. Lineage: Eukaryota; Viridiplantae; Streptophyta; Magnoliopsida; Asterales; Asteraceae. The transcript is spliced from 3 exons. The record is from RefSeq and is a predicted model, not a curated record.
CUUUUAAAACGGGUCCAGGUUGUUUAAGUGGGUCGGGUCAGGGAUAUAACCCGAAUUGUUUAAAAAAAAACCACAGUAAAAUAAAACGAAUUACACGCAAGCAUCAUCUCUCUCGUAAGACCCUAGAUGCCAUUGCCAUCUUCAACCUCUAGCUUCGCGAAAUCUGCACCAAAUCGAGUGGUUCUUGGGUGUAACUUGCUUAGUUUUUCGAGGAGAACACAAUUCUAGCAUCUAUUCGGUCCGAUUUCCAUCCGUUCGCGAGUAAUCAGAAUGUGGGGUGGCGAACCCUAAUUUCUAAAUUUGGGGUUUUUCGUUUUGGAGUGAAGUGUGUUGAAUCUGAAGCGUAUUCUAGCAUAUCUAAACAUAAACGAGUGACGCGAACGAGACGCCUAGGGAAAGAGAAAGCUGUUGAUCCGCCAUCUAAACCGGUUGCGGCAAAGAAGCGGAAAACAACCAUCGAUCAGGUCCACGUGCUCAUUCCGUACUCUAGUUGGACAAUUUUAGUUUUUCUUGUUUUGGUGUGUUUUUGUGUUUUGGUGGUGUUAAACUUUGUGUCUAGGGAAUGUGUUUAUGUCUUUUGUUUUAGAAAUGGUCGCUCAUGACGUUUUGUUGUUGGUAUUCCCGGGUUCUGCUUUUGUUAAACAUGGUACAUUGGGGACAAUGUCGCCCAAGUGUGGGGAUAUGGAAACCCGGGCAGGGAAAGGUUUGGGACAGAGGUUGAAAAAUGAUUGAAAACGAUGAAAAUUGAAAAAAUUGAAAAUUUUAAAGAAUUUCAUCGCCUUAAGUGAACUAAAUGGAUAUGAAAACCGAACGUUUCAAUCACUAAUGGGUCUCUUGCCGGUAGUAAACUAACAUAGUCCCUUGUCAUGGUCGUUCCUUUAAGUUUCAUGAGAGUAGGUCCGACAUGUGUUUUUAGAAAAAAAUAAGUGAAAAGAGAUGUCUAUUUAGGGGUAACAUGCUUUAGAUUGCAUAUGCUACGUGUCGGCAGCCUUUUUACCCUUCUUUGGUGAGAAUUUUGAGCCUGUAGAAUGAUAGAAUGAUAUUACAUAUUAAUUCAUUUGUUGAGAGCAGGCCGCAUGUUAUUCUGUGUUAGAACUUGUAUGAUUUGAUACAUUAUGAGACUGUGAUUUGACAUGUGCACGUAAAUGAUAAAGGCAUUAGGAUAUCCCUUACACCUGUUUGUUUGUUUGUUUUAUGUUCACCUAGUUAUCACCCUUAGUAGCCCUGUUGAGCCUAUACACCUUUCGUUUGUCCACCCAAUGUGAAUUGUUGAUCCCGACCGUGAACGACAAGUUAUGAAUAAUUGAAAAACAAUAUAUAAAAAAAUAAAAAAAGGAAAAAAAUAUAAGUGUUGUGAAUAUCGUUUGUAUUCUUGGGUAGAAACCAACCCAAAAGUAUGUUAUGUUUGCAGAGAAAGUUGUCACGGUUUGGUCGUUUGUUGUUCGCCACAAAAAAAAAACCAAAAAAUAUUCCUACCCGUAGCCAAAGCCCAAGACCGGAAGUCCUUUUGAUAUGUGCUAGCGUGUUAAAUGAUACAGUGGAGGUAUGAUUGUCAUUCAAGCUUAUGAUUUAUAGAAUUUCAUGUUUGGUUUUGAGUGUUAUACAUACUAGCACAUUACACGCUAGUUCAGUUGUUAAACCGAGAGGAGAGUUGAUUGUGAGGGGUGUGUAGCAUGUGUUAAUCCUAAGCAUGUUAGUUUUGAAUAGACAAGCCUUAGGUUUUAUAAAUCACACCAAUUGCUUGUCGGGCUGUCAAUCUCGAUUGUGUCAGUCUAUGGAUCGGGUAUGACUUGAGACUUAAAUUGUUGCAUCGGUUUCGGGGUUUAGAAGUGUUGUUACUAUGGUGAGUAAUUCCGAAUCGGUUUGCUUGAGGACAAUCAAAGGUAAGUGUGGGGAUGUGAUGGAGAGUGUGAAACACGGGUGUUUAGGUGCUUAUCUUACAUGUUUUGUGCGGUUUUAUAUGAUUAUAUGUUUAGUAUUGGAUUAUUGCGAGUGGUUGUAUGUUUGCAGGUUAAACGCGUGAAAUGGGUGAAGUUACGGAAUUUAACGAUGAAGCGGAACAUGUGAUGUUAAUAAAGGCGGCCAACGGAAGCACUCGGGAAUGUUUCGGGUCGAAAUGGAUGGUUUGGAUAUGCAAAGAAUGCGAAAGCAUUAAAGUUCAAGGGCCAAUUGCCGUCUAGAACAUUAUUUUGGAGGGGGGCAGCCGUAUAACCUCACUUUUUGGCACUCAACUCAGGAUCGGGAUCGUUCAUCAUACAUCUUUCGCACAAGAUCCUACUCGAUCAUGAAUUCGAAUUUCGCCCAAGCUUCGGAAGAUUGUUCGCACAUCAUGAGCUGCUGGUCGUCCCGUGACCAUCUCCGAGACUAGGGUUUAUGUUUGAACAUUGAGUUUGCAUAUGUUACGACUUUUUGGAUUAGGACUC